RNAcentral lists this transfer RNA (85 nucleotides) under Infirmifilum uzonense. RNAcentral describes it as "Thermofilum uzonense tRNA-Leu". It matches the Rfam family "tRNA". From Rfam's summary of the family: Transfer RNA (tRNA) molecules are approximately 80 nucleotides in length. Their secondary structure includes four short double-helical elements and three loops (D, anti-codon, and T loops). The record is from RNAcentral. RNAcentral also lists the same sequence under 1 other name. Lineage: Archaea; Thermoproteati; Thermoproteota; Thermoprotei; Thermofilales; Thermofilaceae.
GCGGGGGUGCCCGAGCUAGGACAAAGGGGGCGGACUUAAGAUCCGCUGGCGUCGGCCUGCCCGGGUUCGAAUCCCGGCCCCCGCA